Molecule: unclassified non-coding RNA, 20 nt
Filed under: Mus musculus (house mouse)
Lineage: Eukaryota; Metazoa; Chordata; Mammalia; Rodentia; Muridae
Description: oocyte_clustered_small_RNA11962
Source: RNAcentral
AUUUGACUGCAGGGUCAUGG